RNAcentral lists this ribosomal RNA (250 nucleotides) under uncultured Streptococcus sp. Its description in RNAcentral is "partial 16S ribosomal RNA". It matches the Rfam family "Bacterial small subunit ribosomal RNA", at positions 1133 to 1382 of the family's 1533-position model. Lineage: Bacteria; Bacillati; Bacillota; Bacilli; Lactobacillales; Streptococcaceae. The record is from RNAcentral.
GGGCACUCUAGCGAGACUGCCGGUAAUAAACCGGGGGAAGGUGGGGAUGACGUCAAAUCAUCAUGCCCCUUAUGACCUGGGCUACACACGUGCUACAAUGGUUGGUACAACGAGUUGCGAGUCGGUGACGGCGAGCUAAUCUCUUAAAGCCAAUCUCAGUUCGGAUUGUAGGCUGCAACUCGCCUACAUGAAGUCGGAAUCGCUAGUAAUCGCGGAUCAGCAUGCCGCGGUGAAUACGUUCCCGGGCCUU